This 63-nucleotide transfer RNA is filed under the name Potamon ibericum. Its description in RNAcentral is "partial tRNA-Leu". The record is from RNAcentral. Lineage: Eukaryota; Metazoa; Arthropoda; Malacostraca; Decapoda; Potamidae.
UAGGAUUUAAUUAUAUAGUAGAUCUAUAAAUAAUAAAAUAAUUUUUUUAAAGCUAAUUAUUUU